Molecule: ribosomal RNA, 420 nt
Filed under: Triticum aestivum (bread wheat)
Lineage: Eukaryota; Viridiplantae; Streptophyta; Magnoliopsida; Poales; Poaceae
Description: partial small subunit ribosomal RNA
Source: RNAcentral
AUGGCACCCAAGGCGGAGAAGAAGCCGGCGCCGGAGAAGACCCCGGCGGGGAAGAAGCCGGCGGCGGAGAAGAGGCCCGCGGCCGGGAAGACGGCGUCCAAGGAGGGCGGCGAGAAGAAGGGGAAGAAGAAGGCCAAGAAGAGCGUGGAGACGUACAAGAUCUACAUCUUCAAGGUGCUCAAGCAGGUGCACCCCGACAUCGGCAUCUCCUCCAAGGCCAUGUCCAUCAUGAACUCCUUCAUCAACGACAUCUUCGAGAAGCUCGCCGGCGAGUCCGCCAAGCUGGCCCGCUACAACAAGAAGCCCACCAUCACCUCCCGGGAGAUCCAGACCUCCGUCCGCCUCGUCCUCCCCGGCGAGCUCGCCAAGCACGCCGUCUCCGAGGGCACCAAGGCCGUCACCAAGUUCACCUCAGCCUAG